UGUCAUUUUUAACUGUGAUUUGUCGCAGUUAAGAAACGUAGGUCGCGUAUCCCGCCGCCACUGCGAUUUCUGCUACUUCCGCGAUAUCUGUGACUUAAGCGGUUUUCGUGACUUCUGCGAUUUCUGCUACUUACCACCGUAUGAGAAAGUUACAUCUGCCCACACAGAAAAUUGCAUCUCAACAAAUCUGUCAUUGGUACCCGACCUAAAUUUCAGUCACUCAGUAAAGAGAUAACUCAAAAUAUUAUUGUCAACAGAUCUGGAGAAAUUGCCACUGCGUCUUUAGACUGUUUUCGUCAGACAAUACGUUAGUUUCUAAGUGUUCCGAUGAACUGAAUUACUUAAGCGAGAUCGUUCUAGCAAAUGUGAAAUGUACUCCAUUGAGUGGCUUUCAUUACAGCAAAUACUAGCAAUACUACUACCAGUUACAUUGCUUGUAAUUAGUGACAGCAAAAAUGUUCAAUAAUCCUUGCGAUUUUGCAGACGCAGCUCCGACUCUGAUUACUAGUUGCUGUAGGUGUCUACCCACAUCAAGGCUCUUGAGAGAGAAUCGAGAAGAUUCAAUACAGCUCUUAGAGGAUAUGCAGUUCAAUAGUGCCAUAAUUAUGAAGUGAUCCUGUCUCCCAUCUGCACUCUCCCUCAAUCAAGAAGCUGAUGAAAGGUACUUUGGACAGUUAUGCAGGAUCAAUGGUAUGGCUCCUGGCGCAAGGUAAGGUUUCAGAAGAGGCACAGAAUAUUUUUUUCCCUGUGGAACUAUAAAAAUAGUCACCGCAUCUCAGAAUGAGGUCCUCAGUGAAGUGGAUCUUACAGACCUUAAAAUAAUAAGAAAAACUUUUAUCAGCUACAUAUAAUAAGUCUGUUACUUUCAGAACAGAUUGAUCAAUACUGACUCACUAUUUUAAGUUGUAGAGCUAAAGGUAUUCCUCCAUAAGUAAAACACAGACUGCCAGUGAUACAGUUCUUUAUGCAGCAAACUUAUUCUGUUAUAGAAAGGCAUCAGGGUAACUGAAAUCACAUUGUUACUGAUCAAUGCGACAUUAUGCUAACUUAAACACAUGAUAAGUUGUUCAUGCUCUCUAUGUUAAAGCCCACAUACCCUGAGACAGUCUGAGAUGUACUGAUGUUGAGCACAACUUCAAAGUCUGUGUAACCUGGAACUUUUUACGGAGUAUUGCAGCUAUCCAUUUCUGCUGGAUUUCUGUGUUUUUAGAAAAAGAAAACACCACUACUCAUGGCAUAUUUUCAUAAUUUCCUCUGCAGCAUGGCACACAAUACUUGUGCACCAUUCUGAAUGAUGACAUCAUAACCUCAGAAUUAUUGAUGUACUUCUGCAUAUUUUGAAAUAAACAUAAAUGGUAAUCAAAGUUUUGUUUGCUGGGUAGGUUAGCCAACAUAAACACUUUAUUCUGAAUUGCUUAUACAGCUUAAUUAGAAAAGGGAGCAAAAUUUUUCUUGCCAUGUUUUAUCAUUUCAAUAGAAUUGCCUCCAGCAAAGCAAGAAACAUUCAUGUAGUGCUCCGGACCAUUACUUACAAAUUAUUCAGUGCUUUCUAAAACUCAUAUUUAGUAGCAGUGAUGAAAUCCAUUAACAUUCCAUUUUAAUUAAUUAAUUCACAUCUAUCUACACAAUAAUAAACAUAAUAAUAUAAAACAUCUUACAUUUUAUUUUUUAUUAUGUUUUACUGAGGAACAUUACAUUUCCCGUACAGUUUGCCCAAUGUACAGACAACAUUAGGGAGAGGAUACGAUCUUGUCCUAUGCCUUUUUCAUAUGCUGCUUCUCUAUCACCUCCUUCAAAUUUUGUUAUUGCAGUCUGGUUUUCUAAUAUGUGAGCAAUGCAACUAAUUUUGUGUGUUUUACUUUUUGGAAACAGUUUUCCACAAUAAGAAAUG
Long non-coding RNA from Schistocerca gregaria, 1891 nucleotides. RefSeq lists it as uncharacterized. The transcript is spliced from 3 exons. The record is from RefSeq and is a predicted model, not a curated record. Lineage: Eukaryota; Metazoa; Arthropoda; Insecta; Orthoptera; Acrididae.